Long non-coding RNA from Cyprinus carpio (common carp), 1795 nucleotides. The record is from Ensembl. Lineage: Eukaryota; Metazoa; Chordata; Actinopteri; Cypriniformes; Cyprinidae.
UGUCAAAAUUUGUCAGCUUCAGCUACAUCCCUAAUAUGUAGUUGAAAUUACAAUGAAGUAUCUGUGCAACUACAGCAGUACAGUUUCCUGAGAAUUAAUCUUUACAAAUAAGGAACCAGAGUCUGUGUGUGUGUGUGUGUGUGUGUGUGUGUGUCAUUCUUGUGAUUCUCAUGUCUCUUCCUGAAAGAAAACAGGAAGCAGGUUUCACUUGUUUUACAGAAGUUAAAGAAAUUUCAGAGCUGCUGUUCAAUACAACGGUACAGAGGAGGAAAUAGAAAUAUCUAGAAAUAUUGUUUGAGGUAUCUCAACUCGACUGUACUCUCUCAACUUGACUUUUGAAGUCGCUGGAGGAAGAUCUGAAGACGUUUCAGUGGCACUUAAAGAAACAUAAGUGAAUAUCAACAUCUGAAAUGGAGGAUGCAGAUUGAUUAAAAACAGUGGAUAAGCUGGUGGCGUGUGACCAGAAGAAGCUGUGACGAUCACAUUCAGCAUCCUGAAGAAGAUGGAACAGAACAAUCUGGCUGAGCAGCUGGAUAACAAACACAUGCAUGCUGACAAAUCUCCAGUCCAGAUAAUAAGCAGUGCUCAGCCUGGAGCCAAUGUGAAAGCUGAAACAGGUGCAAGUGUAAAUGCUCCUGUACUCGCUGGAAGCACCUUCACUGGACCAAUACACUUCAACUACAGCUCACAUGCUGCAGGAAACGAUAAACAUAUAUGCUCAGAGACAGCAGAGAAUAACAGAGAAAAACAAGGUAAACCUUUCAUGUAUGAAAAUUUAUUGUGCACCUGCUACAAUUAUAUUACUGAGUCCAUCUCCCCAUUUACAUAUCUGAUUUAACAGUAAUGAAUGUGAUGAAUUAUCAUUGCAUUGAUGCAUUUGGUGUUAUUAUUGAAUAACAUAAUAUAGGCUAUUUAAUGUGCAUAUUUUAUAUCACUUUUUAGAUAGACUGGAAUCUGUGCAGGAAUACAUAUUUAGUCUAUGAACGUGGAGGCAAAAGUGCAGCUACUCUGAUUUGAUUGCCAUUUUAGCAAUAGCAGGAGGAUCCUUGUUAUAGGGCCUCUGUCUACAUAUUUCAUUUAACAGUAAGCUCAGAAAAUUCAUGUAGGCAAAUGGCCAGCACACAUCUCAUAACUGUAAGAAAAUGAACAGUAAAAAAAAAAAGAAAAGAAAAGAAAAAAACCAUUGGAGAACAACUCUAAAACAAGCAACAAACAAACUAAAACUCUACUAAAUCAUUUGCAUUUUGGUGCAGAGUCUUUCACUGCAGCUUUAUUGUUGAUUUUGCAAGCACAGACAUCAUCAGUGCUAAACUGGACAGUCUUCUAACAUUGUGCUCUGGAGAAAUGUCUUGAUCAUUUUCAGUUUCGAGAAUGAACGACAGCAAUUGCAUGUCAAAGCAUUUAUAUUCUGGGCUCUUCUGCAGAGUUUGAUCUUUUAAUAUCAUUGUCUUAAUGAGUAAGCCAUGUUAAGCAUAAAAAUAUGCACUUCGAUAAUGGUGCUGUUGUCUUAGAAGUAAGCCUAUAGUGUUUAUGACAAGUGAAAUGUGAGAGAAAAUUUAUUUUCCCUGGUAGUUGUUUCAGAACAUCACUAAGCCACAUGCGCUUUUCCACUCCACUGCGCUACCUUUGCACUCGCAUCUCGUGUUUUUUCAGUGUCUCAAGCAUGACACUGAAGCAAUACUUUCGUUACAGUACUUGAAUACAUUUUUCUUUUCUUUUUUCUACUUUCUUUAAUAAUUAAAUUGUGGUUCUUUUACUUGAGUUGAAUACAAAUAAAGUAUUCAACUUCGCUACA